CGGUGACAAACCGGAGGAAGGUGGGGAUGACGUCAAAUCAUCAUGCCCCUUAUGAUUUGGGCUACACACGUGCUACAAUGGACAAUACAAAGGGCAGCGAAACCGCGAGGUCAAGCAAAUCCCAUAAAGUUGUUCUCAGUUCGGAUUGUAGUCUGCAACUCGACUACAUGAAGCUGGAAUCGCUAGUAAUCGUAGAUCAGCAUGCUACGGUGAAUACGUUCCCGGGUCUUGUACACACCGCCCGUCACACCACGAGAGUUUGUAACACCCGAAGCCGGUGGAGUAACCUUUUAGGAGCUAGCCGUCGAAGGUGGGACAAAUGAUUGGGGUGAAGUCGUAACAAGGUAGCCGUAUCGGAAGGUGCGGCUGGAUCACCUCCUUU
Molecule: ribosomal RNA, 382 nt
Filed under: Staphylococcus aureus
Lineage: Bacteria; Bacillati; Bacillota; Bacilli; Caryophanales; Staphylococcaceae
Description: bacterial SSU rRNA
Rfam family: Bacterial small subunit ribosomal RNA
Source: RNAcentral